GACGAACGCUGGCGGCGUGCUUAACACAUGCAAGUCGAACGGAAAGGCUCCAGCUUGCUGGAGUACUCGAGUGGCGAACGGGUGAGUAACACGUGGGUAAUCUGCCCUGCACUCUGGGAUAAGCCUGGGAAACUGGGUCUAAUACUGGAUAUGACCUUUCUCCUUAUGGGGUUUGGUGGAAAGUUUUUCGGUGUAGGAUGAGCCCGCGGCCUAUCAGCUUGUUGGUGGGGUGAUGGCCUACCAAGGCGACGACGGGUAGCCGGCCUGAGAGGGUGAUCGGCCACAUUGGGAAUGAGAUACGGCCCAGACUCCUACGGGAGGCAGCAGUGGGGAAUAUUGCACAAUGGGCGGAAGCCUGAUGCAGCGACGCCGCGUGAGGGAUGACGGCCUUCGGGUUGUAAACCUCUUUCGGCAGGGACGAAGCGUAAGUGACGGUACCUGCAGAAGAAGCACCGGCUAACUAUG
Molecule: ribosomal RNA, 465 nt
Filed under: uncultured bacterium
Lineage: Bacteria
Description: partial 16S ribosomal RNA
Rfam family: Bacterial small subunit ribosomal RNA
Source: RNAcentral